Molecule: ribosomal RNA, 429 nt
Filed under: Bacillota bacterium
Lineage: Bacteria; Bacillati; Bacillota
Description: Firmicutes bacterium partial 16S ribosomal RNA
Rfam family: Bacterial small subunit ribosomal RNA
Source: RNAcentral
UGGGGAAUUUUGGACAAUGGGCGCAAGCCUGAUCCAGCAAUGCCGCGUGUGUGAAGAAGGCCUUCGGGUUGUAAAGCACUUUUGUCCGGAAAGAAAACCUCGUGGCUAAUACCCUUGGGGGAUGACGGUACCGGAAGAAUAAGCACCGGCUAACUACGUGCCAGCAGCCGCGGUAAUACGUAGGGUGCAAGCGUUAAUCGGAAUUACUGGGCGUAAAGCGUGCGCAGGCGGUUCUGUAAGACCGAUGUGAAAUCCCCGGGCUUAACCUGGGAACUGCAUUGGUGACUGGAGGGCUGGAGUAUGGCAGAGGGGGGUGGAAUUCCACGUGUAGCAGUGAAAUGCGUAGAGAUGUGGAGGAAUACCGAUGGCGAAGGCAGCACCCUGGGCAAAUACUGACGCUCAUGCACGAAAGCGUGGGGAGCAAACAGG